UGAGCAAUCUGCCCUUCUCAUCGGAAUAAGCGUUGGAAACGACGUCUAAUGCCGAAUACGACCUCCUUUCGCAUGAUCGGAGGUGGAAAGCUCCGGCGGAGAAGGAUGAGCUCGCGGCCUAUCAGCUAGUUGGUGUGGGUAAUGGCCCACCAAGGCGACGACGGGUAGCCCGGCCUGAGAGGGUGACCGGCCACACUGGGACUGAGACACGGCCCAGACUCCUACGGGAGCAG
Molecule: ribosomal RNA, 233 nt
Filed under: uncultured bacterium
Lineage: Bacteria
Description: partial 16S ribosomal RNA
Rfam family: Bacterial small subunit ribosomal RNA
Source: RNAcentral